Molecule: ribosomal RNA, 253 nt
Filed under: uncultured bacterium
Lineage: Bacteria
Description: partial 16S ribosomal RNA
Rfam family: Bacterial small subunit ribosomal RNA
Source: RNAcentral
UACGGGGGGAGCAAACGUUGUUCGGAAUCACUGGGCGUAAAGGGCGUGUAGGCGGCUGAAUAAGUGGGAUGUUAAAUCCCCCGGCUCAACCGGGGAACUGCAUCUCAUACUGUUCAGCUUGGGUACAGCAGAGGAGACUGGAAUUCCCGGUGUAGCGGUGAAAUGCGCAGAUAUCAGGAGGAACACCAAUGGCGAAGGCAGCACUCUGGGACGUGACUGACGCUGAGACGCGAAAGCGUGGGGAGCAAACAGG